This 107-nucleotide ribosomal RNA is filed under the name Bacillus haynesii. RNAcentral's name for it is "partial 16S ribosomal RNA". It matches the Rfam family "Bacterial small subunit ribosomal RNA", at positions 1 to 104 of the family's 1533-position model. The record is from RNAcentral. Lineage: Bacteria; Bacillati; Bacillota; Bacilli; Caryophanales; Bacillaceae.
UUCAUGGAGAGUUUGAUCCUGGCUCAGGACGAACGCUGGCGGCGUGCCUAAUACAUGCAAGUCGAGCGGACCUAAGGGAGCUUGCUCCCUUAGGUCAGCGGCGGACG